UACGUAGGGGGCUAGCGUUAUCCGGAAUUACUGCGCGUAAAGGGUGCGUAGGUGGUUUCUUAAGUCAGAGGUGAAAGGCUACGGCUCAACCGUAGUAAGCCUUUGAAACUGAUGAACUUGAGUGUAGGAGAGGAAAGUGGAAUUCCCAGUGUAGCGGUGAAAUGCGUAGAUAUUGGGAGGAACACCAGUGGCGAAGGCGACUUUCUGGACUACAACUGACGCUGAGGCACGAAAGCGUGGGGAGCAAACAGGAUUAGAUACCCGGGUAGUCCCUGAGCGGG
RNAcentral lists this ribosomal RNA (281 nucleotides) under uncultured prokaryote. RNAcentral describes it as "partial 16S ribosomal RNA". It matches the Rfam family "Bacterial small subunit ribosomal RNA", at positions 524 to 803 of the family's 1533-position model. The record is from RNAcentral.